Molecule: long non-coding RNA, 615 nt
Filed under: Cricetulus griseus (Chinese hamster)
Lineage: Eukaryota; Metazoa; Chordata; Mammalia; Rodentia; Cricetidae
Description: lncRNA (ENSCGRG00015041688.1)
Source: RNAcentral
UUUAUAACAGAGAGAUAGACCAACUGCUGGCCCCACCCCAUUUCCUCCAAGAAGACUGGUGGGCACUGAAGAAACUCCAGCCACAAAAAUGGCAACACUGGCUACUGAGCGAGCAAUCCUUCCCUUCACCUCAGCUGCUGCAAAGGACUCUUUGGACCAUGUACAAGAGGACAAUGGAAUCAACUUUCCCCCCGUUGCUUGGGUCAAUGAUAGGCAAGUCUUCUUAUAGUUCCCGAUCCUCAGGUCCCAUGCUAUCACCAGAAGGCGGGUGUCCUGCAGGCCACAACCAUGGAUGGAGGACCUUGGGGGUGGCUGUUCAUGCAGCCUGCUGCCAGACUUACUCUUUCUUCUACACUGGGACGCCACUUCAACCCAGACGAGUGACAGACAGGGUCCUGAGGAGGAAGGUCCAGGGGGUCAGAGAUUAUGAUGACAGAGCUGGUAAGCUCGGGAGGUCUUUCGCAGGCUGCAUCUCAUGCCAACUGAAACGCACUGAGAAGCACAGUGUGUUUCAUACUAUUUCCAGGGGAGAAGUGGGACAAGGUCAGAAGAAACUCUCAUGGGAGGCAGUCGGUGGGGAGCUAAUCACACAAUGUUGCACACGGUGAACACAGG